This 275-nucleotide ribosomal RNA is filed under the name uncultured bacterium. RNAcentral describes it as "partial 16S ribosomal RNA". It matches the Rfam family "Bacterial small subunit ribosomal RNA", at positions 79 to 353 of the family's 1533-position model. The record is from RNAcentral.
AAACUGGAGAUGGCGACCGGCGCACGGGUGAGUAACACGUAUCCAACCUGCCGAUGACUCGGGGAUAGCCUUUCGAAAGAAAGAUUAAUACCCGAUGGCAUAGUUCUUCCGCAUGGUAGAACUAUUAAAGAAUUUCGGUCAUCGAUGGGGAUGCGUUCCAUUAGGUUGUUGGCGGGGUAACGGCCCACCAAGACUACGAUGGAUAGGGGUUCUGAGAGGAAGGUCCCCCACAUUGGAACUGAGACACGGUCCAAACUCCUACGGGAGGCAGCAUG